This 77-nucleotide transfer RNA is filed under the name Gammaproteobacteria bacterium 13_2_20CM_66_19. RNAcentral's name for it is "tRNA-Met". It matches the Rfam family "tRNA". From Rfam's summary of the family: Transfer RNA (tRNA) molecules are approximately 80 nucleotides in length. Their secondary structure includes four short double-helical elements and three loops (D, anti-codon, and T loops). The record is from RNAcentral. Lineage: Bacteria; Pseudomonadati; Pseudomonadota; Gammaproteobacteria. RNAcentral also lists the same sequence under 15 other names.
GGAAAGGUAGCUCAGCUGGUUAGAGCACGGCACUCAUAAUGCCGGGGUCGAGGGUUCGAGUCCCUCCCUUUCCACCA